CAGCCGCCGCGGUAAUACGAAGGUCCCGAGCGUUGUUCGGAAUCACUGGGCGUAAAGGGAGCGUAGGCGGCGUGGUAAGUCAGAUGUGAAAUCCCGGGGCUCAACCCCGGAACUGCAUCCGAUACUGCCAUGCUAGAGGAUUGGAGAGGUAGCUGGAAUUCUUGGUGUAGCAGUGAAAUGCGUGGAGAUCAAGAGGAACACUCGUGGCGAAAGCGAGCUACUGGACAAUAACUGACGCUGAGGCUCGAAGGCCAGGGUAGCGAAAGGGAUUAGAGACCCGCGUAGUCCCUGUCUCUUAUAC
Molecule: ribosomal RNA, 301 nt
Filed under: uncultured bacterium
Lineage: Bacteria
Description: partial 16S ribosomal RNA
Rfam family: Bacterial small subunit ribosomal RNA
Source: RNAcentral